Molecule: long non-coding RNA, 385 nt
Organism: Oreochromis aureus
Lineage: Eukaryota; Metazoa; Chordata; Actinopteri; Cichliformes; Cichlidae
Exons: 3
Source: RefSeq, a predicted model, not a curated record
ACAGACAAACCCGGAAGCUGCUUGCUUGACGGCAGACAGCAGGGGACACGUGGUUUUGAUAAAGAGAUAAAUUGUGGCUCAGGCUCCUUAACGGCCUCUCUUCCUUGUUGUGGUGAUGCAGGUCGGACGUGAGGUGCUGGAGAAACGAGACCCGACGAGGUGAAACCUUGUUUUACGGAUUUCAGAACUUGGAUGUGUCCGAGGUGCUGGAUGUUUCAGGAGCUCUGGCUGCUGGGUUUCUUCAGGUGGAAAUUUAGUUUUUAAGUUGUUAAAUGUAAUUUAUUUUAAAGUUGAUUCACUGACAAAUAUCAGUUAUCUUUUAUAUUUCAGUGAUAACAAUCUGUAGUAAGUGCAAUCAUUCAAUAAAACAUCUGUUGUAAAUCAA